Molecule: long non-coding RNA, 535 nt
Organism: Zophobas morio
Lineage: Eukaryota; Metazoa; Arthropoda; Insecta; Coleoptera; Tenebrionidae
Exons: 3
Source: RefSeq, a predicted model, not a curated record
AAGUGUCCAAUCAGUAUCAUUCGACCUAUUACAAUUCGUGAUGGUCUUGCUGUUUAAUAAAAAUAACAUGUAAUUUUGGAGAUUAUGCACACGGCAGAUAGCUACAACACAAAUCCGUUGGUUAAAUAUAAAUCAAAAUUCAAUGAAGACAGCAAAUGCUAGCUUAGACAGAAUUCCGUCUGAACGAGGCACUGCAUGGAACAGUAAAUUUCUAAUCAGCGCAGAGAAAUACAAAAAGUUUUUGGAUUUGUUUCCUGUGGUCGUGAACGACGUAACGAAUAACACUACAGACCCACAAUUUGCUGAAGCAAAUACACACUGAAAACGAACUUCUUCAUUAUCUCGCCCCCUUUGGUAAAAAAUUGAGGGGUUUCAUUACAUUCAUAGCUUACGAAGCUCUUGAAAAACCAGAGAAUGUUACACGGGGAAAUCGCAGAUUAGCAAUGCUCAUGGUUUGGGCUUUGGAAAUUAUGCAGUCAGCUUCUCUUAUAGCUGACGACAUCAUUGACGAAGGGGUAAUGCUCUCUGCUGGCAC